ACGAACGCUGGCGGCGUGCUUAACACAUGCAAGUCGAACGGAAAGGCCCUGCUUUUGUGGGGUGCUCGAGUGGCGAACGGGUGAGUAACACGUGAGUAACCUGCCCUUGACUUUGGGAUAACUUCAGGAAACUGGGGCUAAUACCGGAUAGGAGCUCCUGCUGCCUGGUGGGGGUUGGAAAGUUUCGGCGGUUGGGGAUGGACUCGCGGCUUAUCAGCUUGUUGGUGGGGUAGUGGCUUACCAAGGCUUUGACGGGUAGCCGGCCUGAGAGGGUGACCGGCCACAUGGGGACUGAGAUACGGCCCAGACUCCUACGGGAGGCAGCAGUGGGGAAUAUUGCACAAUGGGCGGAAGCCUGAUGCAGCAACGCCGCGUGCGGGAUGACGGCCUUCGGGUUGUAAACCGCUUUCGCCUGUGACGAAGCGUGAGUGACGGUAAUGGGUAAAGAAGCACCGGCUAACUACGUG
RNAcentral lists this ribosomal RNA (467 nucleotides) under uncultured bacterium. Its description in RNAcentral is "partial 16S ribosomal RNA". It matches the Rfam family "Bacterial small subunit ribosomal RNA", at positions 29 to 507 of the family's 1533-position model. The record is from RNAcentral.